This 916-nucleotide ribosomal RNA is filed under the name uncultured bacterium. RNAcentral's name for it is "bacterial SSU rRNA". It matches the Rfam family "Bacterial small subunit ribosomal RNA", at positions 246 to 1155 of the family's 1533-position model. The record is from RNAcentral.
UUGUUGGUAAGGUAAAAGCUUACCAAGGCUUCGAUCAGUAGCUGGUCUGAGAGGACGACCAGCCACACUGGGACUGAGACACGGCCCAGACUCCUACGGGAGGCAGCAGUGGGGAAUUUUGGACAAUGGGGGCAACCCUGAUCCAGCCAUGCCGCGUGAGUGAAGAAGGCCUUCGGGUUGUAAAGCUCUUUCAGCCGGAACGAAACGGUUACGGAUAACACCCGUGACUACUGACGGUACCGGAAGAAGAAGCACCGGCUAACUACGUGCCAGCAGCCGCGGUAAUACGUAGGGUGCGAGCGUUAAUCGGAAUUACUGGGCGUAAAGCGUGCGCAGGUGGUUUUGUAAGUCAGAUGUGAAAGCCCCGGGCUCAACCUGGGAACUGCGUUUGAAACUACAAGACUAGAGUGUGGCAGAGGGGGGUGGAAUUCCGCGUGUAGCAGUGAAAUGCGUAGAGAUGUGGAGGAACACCGAUGGCGAAGGCAGCCCCCUGGGUCAACACUGACGCUCAGGCACGAAAGCAUGGGGAGCAAACAGGAUUAGAUACCCUGGUAGUCCAUGCCCUAAACGAUGUCAACUAGUUGUCGGGCCUUUACGGGCUUGGUAACGUAGCUAACGCGUGAAGUUGACCGCCUGGGGAGUACGAUCGCAAGAUUAAAACUCAAAUGAAUUGACGGGGACCCGCACAAGCGGUGGAUUAUGUGGAUUAAUUCGAUGCAACGCGAAAAACCUUACCUACCCUUGACAUGUAUCGAAGCCCGCAGAAAAGCGGGGGUGCCCGAAAGGGAACGAUAACACAGGUGCUGCAUGGCUGUCGUCAGCUCGUGUCGUGAGAUGUUGGGUUAAGUCCCGCAACGAGCGCAACCCUUGUCAUUAAUUGCCAUCAUUUAGUUGGGCACUUUAAUGAGGCUGCCGG